AGAGUUUGAUCAUGGCUCAGGAUGAACGCUGGCGGUAUGCUUAACACAUGCAAGUCGAACGAAAUCUUCGGAUUUAGUGGCGGACGGGUGAGUAACGCGUGAGAAUCUACUCUUAGAUUGGGGACAACAGUUGGAAACGACUGCUAAUACCGAAUGUGCCGAAAGGUAAAAGAUUUAUCGUCUGAGAAUGAGCUCGCGUUGGAUUAGCUAGUUGGAGUGGUAAUGGCACACCAAGGCGACGAUCCAUAACUGGUCUGAGAGGAUGACCAGUCACACUGGGACUGAGACACGGCCCAGACUCCUACGGGAGGCAGCAGUGGGGAAUUUUCCGCAAUGGGCGAAAGCCUGACGGAGCAAUACCGCGUGAGGGAGGAAGGCUCUUGGGUCGUAAACCUCUUUUAUUAGGGAAGAAGAUCUGACGGUACCUAAUGAAUCAGCUCGAUCCCCC
RNAcentral lists this ribosomal RNA (448 nucleotides) under uncultured cyanobacterium. Its description in RNAcentral is "bacterial SSU rRNA". It matches the Rfam family "Bacterial small subunit ribosomal RNA", at positions 8 to 501 of the family's 1533-position model. The record is from RNAcentral. Lineage: Bacteria; Bacillati; Cyanobacteriota.